Molecule: ribosomal RNA, 374 nt
Filed under: Helicobacter pylori
Lineage: Bacteria; Pseudomonadati; Campylobacterota; Epsilonproteobacteria; Campylobacterales; Helicobacteraceae
Description: bacterial SSU rRNA
Rfam family: Bacterial small subunit ribosomal RNA
Source: RNAcentral
AACGAUGAUUAAUACCAGAUACUCCCUACGGGGGAAAGAUUUAUCGCUAAGAGAUCAGCCUAUGUCCUAUCAGCUUGUUGGUAAGGUAAUGGCUUACCAAGGCUAUGACGGGUAUCCGGCCUGAGAGGGUGAACGGACACACUGGAACUGAGACACGGUCCAGACUCCUACGGGAGGCAGCAGUAGGGAAUAUUGCUCAAUGGGGGAAACCCUGAAGCAGCAACGCCGCGUGGAGGAUGAAGGUUUUAGGAUUGUAAACUCCUUUUGUUAGAGAAGAUAAUGACGGUAUCUAACGAAUAAGCACCGGCUAACUCCGUGCCAGCAGCCGCGGUAAUACGGAGGGUGCAAGCGUUACUCGGAAUCACUGGGCGUAA